This 837-nucleotide ribosomal RNA is filed under the name uncultured bacterium. RNAcentral's name for it is "bacterial SSU rRNA". It matches the Rfam family "Bacterial small subunit ribosomal RNA", at positions 28 to 896 of the family's 1533-position model. The record is from RNAcentral.
AAUCAACGCUGGCGGCGUGCCUAACACAUGCAAGUCGCACGAGAAAGUGGAGCAAUCCAUGAGUAAAGUGGCGCACGGGUGAGUAACACGUGAAUAAUCUACCUCCGAGUGGGGAAUAACUGAGAGAAAUCUUAGCUAAUACCGCAUAAUACCCACGGGUCAAAGCAGCAAUGCGCUUGGAGAGGAGUUCGCGGCCGAUUAGCUAGUUGGCGGGGUAAUGGCCCACCAAGGCGAUGAUCGGUAUCCGGCCUGAGAGGGCGCACGGACACACUGGAACUGAAACACGGUCCAGACUCCUACGGGAGGCAGCAGUGGGGAAUUUUGCGCAAUGGGGGAAACCCUGACGCAGCAACGCCGCGUGGAGGAUGAAAUCCCUUGGGAUGUAAACUCCUUUCGAUAGGGAAGAUAAUGACGGUACCUAUAGAAGAAGCCCCGGCUAACUUCGUGCCAGCAGCCGCGGUAAUACGAGGGGGGCAAGCGUUGUUCGGAAUUAUUGGGCGUAAAGGGUGCGUAGGCGGUUUGACAAGUCUAAUGUGAAAUCUAUGGGCUCAACCCAUAGUCUGCAUUGGAAACUGUCGGGCUUGAGUAUGGGAGAGGUGAGUGGAAUUUCCGGUGUAGCGGUGAAAUGCGUAGAUAUCGGAAGGAACACCUGUGGCGAAAGCGGCUCACUGGACCAUUACUGACGCUGAUGCACGAAAGCUAGGGGAGCAAACAGGAUUAGAUACCCUGGUAGUCCUAGCCCUAAACGAUGAUUGCUUGAUGUGGCAGGUACCCAAUCCUGCCGUGUCGAAGCUAACGCGAUAAGCAAUCCGCCUGGGGAGUACGGUCGCAAGGCUG